This 235-nucleotide unclassified non-coding RNA is filed under the name fungal sp. RNAcentral's name for it is "partial internal transcribed spacer region". The stretch from base 1 to 46 matches the Rfam family "Eukaryotic small subunit ribosomal RNA", at positions 1786 to 1831 of the family's 1831-position model. The record is from RNAcentral. Lineage: Eukaryota; Fungi.
AAGUCGUAACAAGGUUUUCGUAGGUGAACCUGCGGAAGGAUCAUUAAUGAAUACACAAGAGUGCUCGCAAGAGGCUCGUUUCAUUUAAUCACACACACUUUGUGCACUUGAAAUCAGACUCGGCGCCCGCAAGGGCAAAGAGGCUCCUUUCACAACACUUUGCUAUUGAAGGAACACGAAUGUAAAUUCAUAACAAACGAAAGUACAACUUUCAGCAACGGAUUUCUUGGCUCUC